UUGGAGGGCAAGUCUGGUGCCAGCAGCCGCGGUAAUUCCAGCUCCAAUAGCGUAUAUUAAAGUUGUUGCAGUUAAAAAGCUCGUAGUUGAAUUUCGGGGUUCUUCCGUUGGUCAGGCUAACAAGUCUGUACUAGCGUGUAGAAUCUCUACUUCUGGGGAACCAUCAUGUUAUUAAUUUAGCGUGGUGGGAAACCAGGACCUUUACCUUGAAAAAAUUAGAGUGUUCAAAGCAGGCUUACGUCUGAAUACAUUAGCAUGGAAUAAUAAAAUAGGACGGUGGUCCUGUUUUGUUGGUUUCUGAAUCACCGUAAUGAUUAAUAGGGAUAGUUGGGGGCAUUAGUAUUCAAUUGUCAGAGGUGAAAUUCUUGGAUUUAUUGAAGACUAACUUCUGCGAAAGCAUUUGCCAAGGAUGUUUUCAUUAAUCAAGAACGAAAGUUAGGGGAUCGAAGACGAUCAGAUACCGUCGUAGUCUUAACCAUAAACUAUGCCGACUAGG
Molecule: ribosomal RNA, 496 nt
Filed under: uncultured Scutellospora
Lineage: Eukaryota; Fungi; Glomeromycota; Glomeromycetes; Diversisporales; Gigasporaceae
Description: SSU rRNA
Rfam family: Eukaryotic small subunit ribosomal RNA
Source: RNAcentral